This 324-nucleotide ribosomal RNA is filed under the name uncultured eukaryote. Its description in RNAcentral is "partial 18S ribosomal RNA". It matches the Rfam family "Eukaryotic small subunit ribosomal RNA", at positions 1470 to 1796 of the family's 1831-position model. The record is from RNAcentral.
CCCUUAGAUGUCCUGGGCUGCACGCGCGCUACACUGAUGUGUCCAGUAAGCACCUAACCUCUUCCGAAAGGAACGGGUAACCUUUGCAAAGCACAUCGUGAUGGGGAUAGAUUAUUGCAAUUAUUAGCCUUGAACGAGGAAUUCCUAGUAAGCACAAGUCAUCAGCUUGUGUUGAUUACGUCCCUGCCCUUUGUACACACCGCCCGUCGCUCCUACCGAUUGAAUGUUCCGGUGAGCUCUUCGGACUGCGCGGUCUGCAGUUUCUGCGUUCCGUGCGGAAAGUUGCGCAAACCUUAACAUUUAGAGGAAGGAGAAGUCGUAACA